AAAGUUCAGGGGUACUUUACAGCAAUCGUUCUUAUGAAAGAAAAACAGGGAGAAGAGAGAGAACUGGUUCAAAAGUUAACUGAAAUAAUGUGUCAUGUUUCCUCUUAUCUGUUUGUAUCUGCAUGAGCAGGGAAAGAAUUUGCUAGAUACCUUUGCUUGCAAGGCAGAUUUGUUUUUAGCAAGGUGCUUGGCUGGAUAUGCAAGCUUAUGUCUUCAAAGACAUAAGAAUCUGAAACAGUAUUAAUUUCUUCAAGAAUGUCUUCCUUUUCCUAGUGCACUGAGAUUACAUUAUUUUCCGCUACCUAUUUCUUCACUGUAAGUCCCAUUCUUCUGAAAGGCAUUUCUUCUGAAUGGACAUAGGAAAGAUUGCACUGCACUGUAACAGAAACACAUUCGCCUCCAUCCAAGUCCACCUCUGUUCUGUGCAACCAGUGUUAUUAAGUAGCAGACUGGGAGGGACAUUGGAAUUUACAACGGGCAACACAGAUAGGAUGACUGCAAAUUCUUAUCCCAAACCUGCACUACAAAUAUGGACUACAUCACGCUUUUCUCAGUCUGGGGGGAAGAAGUUUCUGAGCAUCAAAUACCUCUGCUGGAUUGAAGCAACUGCAUAAUGUGUUCUGGUGCGUGCAGCAAAAGUAUAACAAACAAGCAAAUAAAGAUGUUGGGAUAACCCAAACUAAUCAUCCUUACCCAGAGGAGCUCAAGGUAGUUUAAACGGGGAUCUGCAUUUUAUUCCUGCUGCAACCCUGUGAAGUAGGUUGGGCCCAAAGUCAUCUAAUGAAUUACCACGACUGAGAGUAGACUUGAGAUUCAGAAUCCUCUAAGCAGGUCAUUUUGGUAGCAUUUUGCUGCUUUACACUUUGAUCAGCCAUUUGUUUGCAUAUAAUUUUUUUCUACAAGUAUUGCAACUCUCUCCAUUUAAAAAAAAAAAAGAAAAUAUUGCUCUGAUUUUAAGAUGUUACGGUAACAUAUGUAUUAUAUUAAGGCACAUUUCUGGAAACAUGUUCAUAUGGUGUGGAGAAGAGAAAGGGGUGGAAGGGUGAAGGAGAGAAAUGGAGUGUUCUCCACAAAACCCUGCACAUUCCAAGCACAUUUACUUCUGGAAAACUGUCAACUACCCCAAAAUGGAUCCCUGUGUACUGCAAGAGAAAACUGAAUAUUUGGGAAAUUCUUUGGCACUUUCUUUGCCCUGAAGAUAAAGCUUUGCUUUGCACAUUCUUGAUGUAAAUAAAUACAUACAUACAUAUGUCCA
Molecule: long non-coding RNA, 1255 nt
Organism: Python bivittatus (Burmese python)
Lineage: Eukaryota; Metazoa; Chordata; Lepidosauria; Squamata; Pythonidae
Source: RefSeq, a predicted model, not a curated record